GUUCAUAUCUUUGCUGAACACUUGUCAAGGAGCCAGUCAGUGUGGGUCUGAUAUAGUAAAUAAAAAGCAAUAAUGGUGGAAACAGAAUGGAUAGUUCACAGUCUGAACAGUGUCCAUAAUAAACAGCUGUGAACCUGCUUUAUGAGAGUAGACUCUACCCUGGAGGCAUAUUCAGGAUACAAACGUACCCUUCUAUUUUACAAAAUUAGAUGCUGCCCUUGGGAAAACUUCCUGAAGACCACUGCUCUACACCAAUUAUCAUCAGCUUUAUCUGUCUGAAGCUGAUGUUCAAGCAGGGCUCUGAAAUCAACUGUGAAAUCUUGACUCUGGGAACGCACAGAAAGUGGUUCGAGAAAUGACAAAUCAGGUUCUCUGGAGAAAGGUUCUAAGCAAAGUAAGUUUUAGUACCGGUCUUGCUAUUAUCAAUUGAUGAGACAAUUCAAAAAUGAGUUUGUUUUCCUAUAUAAAAUCAAUACAUUAACAUUUAAGAUAGUUUCCUACUAAUACUUUAAUAUUCUUAAUGUUUUUAUGCACCUUUUAAAGCCACCAAAUAUUUAUUACUUUUGUCAGUCUGUAGAAUAUUUAUUCAGCCAUUAUUAUCUACAUUAGAGAUUUUGUGUUGCUUUGUAAAAUCUGAGCCUCCCCAAAAGCCUUAUUUGUUUGUUUUCAUUGCAAACGGUACUGCAGGAGGUGAGAGGAACAUUCACUGAGUAACUCCAUUCCAAAUCCUCAAUGGAAAUAAGGCUAUGUAAUACACACAUACAUAAAAUGCCAAUACCUUACUAUGUUCCACUGUGUUCACAUCAGGCUUUCUUAAGAAAAACUGAUAUAUUAUCCACAUUUUAGAGAUCAUGAAAAAGACCCUUAGAAAUGUUGAGAAACUCAACCAAGUUCAUAGAGCUAGGUCCCCCUGAAUUCAAAAUCAUAAUCUGUUUAUUAUGCCCUUUUACCUUCCAGAAGGGAUUCUUCUGGGGGAUGAAGGGGUGCCCCUUGUAAUAUAAAGGCUGCUUGUGAAUUGCUUCCCUGGUCAUGGAAAUUUAUCACUCCCUUAUUCACUUACUUGACCAUAAGUGCUUCAAGUUACUUACUUGGUUAUAUUUUCCAUGGAAACAUUGAGUUUGAUUUUCAAAUACUAAA
This 1137-nucleotide long non-coding RNA is filed under the name Lynx canadensis (Canada lynx). RNAcentral describes it as "lncRNA (ENSLCNG00005020788.1)". Lineage: Eukaryota; Metazoa; Chordata; Mammalia; Carnivora; Felidae. The record is from RNAcentral.